UCGUCUGUCUUUCCUCCCUGUGUUUGUUUGCCCUCCUCUGUCCCUCCGUCUCUUUCCUCUCCUUGCUUUCUGUGGUUUUCUGCAAUGAUGAGACAGGCACCGACAGCCCGAAAGACCACAACUCGACGGCCCAAGCCUACUCGCCCAGCCAGUACUGGGGUGGCUGGGCCCAGUAGCUCCUUGGGCCCCUCUGGAUCAGCAUCAGCCGGUGAACUGAGCAGCAGUGAGCCCAGCACCCCAGCUCAGACUCCGCUGGCAGCACCCAUCAUCCCCACACCGGCCCUCACCUCUCCUGGAGCAGCACCCCCACUUCCUUCUCCCUCUAAGGUAAGGAGGAGUCAAGGCACCUCUGC
Molecule: long non-coding RNA, 353 nt
Filed under: Rattus norvegicus (Norway rat)
Lineage: Eukaryota; Metazoa; Chordata; Mammalia; Rodentia; Muridae
Description: long non-coding RNA NONRATT020615
Source: RNAcentral